GGUUGGGCAAAGAGCAACACAAAAUUGUACAUACAAAAUAUGAUAAUACAAGUUGACAGAGAAUGGCCUGUUCCUGACCCCUGGACCGAAUCGAAACGAACCGAAUACUGGACUGAACCUUCCUGGCAGCCAUCAGCCAUCAGCCAUCGCCUGGCUGGCCUGCCCUGCGCCAUUGAGAGUUUUCCAAUCAAACUUGUAUUUUCGACCAACGUUAUUGAAAGCAGCUUAAUGCGGCAGUAAGCUGUCCAUUAUGCCACAACAUGUACAUGCUACUUGGCCACGCUACAGG
This 289-nucleotide long non-coding RNA is filed under the name Drosophila guanche. Lineage: Eukaryota; Metazoa; Arthropoda; Insecta; Diptera; Drosophilidae. The record is from RNAcentral.